This 229-nucleotide ribosomal RNA is filed under the name uncultured bacterium. RNAcentral describes it as "partial 16S ribosomal RNA". It matches the Rfam family "Bacterial small subunit ribosomal RNA", at positions 568 to 796 of the family's 1533-position model. The record is from RNAcentral.
UGCGUAGGUGGCAUAAUAAGUCAGAGGUGAAAGCCCGGCGCUUAACGUCGGAAUUGCCCCUGAUACUGUUAUGCUUGAAUAAGGUUGAGGUAGGCGGAAUGUGGCAUGUAGCGGUGAAAUGCAUAGAUAUGCCAUAGAACACCAAUUGCGAAGGCAGCUUACUGGACCUUUAUUGACACUGAGGCACGAAAGCGUGGGGAGCGAACAGGAUUAGAUACCCUGGUAGUCC